RNAcentral lists this ribosomal RNA (468 nucleotides) under uncultured bacterium. RNAcentral describes it as "partial 16S ribosomal RNA". It matches the Rfam family "Bacterial small subunit ribosomal RNA", at positions 28 to 507 of the family's 1533-position model. The record is from RNAcentral.
GACGAACGCUGGCGGCGUGCUUAACACAUGCAAGUCGAACGGAAAGGCCCUGCUUUUGUGGGGUGCUCGAGUGGCGAACGGGUGAGUAACACGUGAGUAACCUGCCCUUGACUUUGGGAUAACUUCAGGAAACUGGGGCUAAUACCGGAUAGGAGCUCCUGCUGCAUGGUGGGGGUUGGAAAGUUUCGGCGGUUGGGGAUGGACUCGCGGCUUAUCAGCUUGUUGGUGGGGUAGUGGCUUACCAAGGCUUUGACGGGUAGCCGGCCUGAGAGGGUGACCGGCCACAUGGGGCCUGAGAUACGGCCCAGACUCCUACGGGAGGCAGCGGUGGGGAAUAUUGCACAAUGGGCGGAAGCCUGAUGCAGCAACGCCGCGUGCGGGAUGACGGCCUUCGGGUUGUAAACCGCUUUCGCCUGUGACGAAGCGUGAGUGACGGUAAUGGGUAAAGAAGCACCGGCUAACUACGUG